GAUGAACGCUGGCGGCGUGCCUAAUACAUGCAAGUCGAGCGAACGGACGAUAAGCUUGCUUCUCUGAUGUUAGCGGCGGACGGGUGAGUAACACGUGUAUAACCUACCUAUAAGACUGGGAUAACUUCGGGAAACCGGAGCUAAUACCGGAUAAUAUUUUGAACCGCAUGGUUCAAAAGUGAAAGACGGUCUUGCUGUCACUUAUAGAUGGAUCCGCGCUGCAUUAGCUAGUUGGUAAGGUAACGGCUUACCAAGGCAACGAUGCAUAGCCGACCUGAGAGGGUGAUCGGCGACACUGGAACUGAGACACGGUCCAGACUCCUACGGGAGGCAGCAGUAGGGAAUCUUCGGCAAUGGGCGAAAGCCUGACGGAGCAACGCCGCGUGAGUGAUGAAGGUCUUCGGAUCGUAAAACUCUGUUAUUAGGGAAGAACCUAUGUGUAAGUAAAUGUGCACAUCUUGACGGUACCUAAUCAGAAAGCAACGGCUAACUACGUG
This 497-nucleotide ribosomal RNA is filed under the name uncultured bacterium. RNAcentral describes it as "partial 16S ribosomal RNA". It matches the Rfam family "Bacterial small subunit ribosomal RNA", at positions 28 to 507 of the family's 1533-position model. The record is from RNAcentral.